UUUUGUUUAUGAAUUGUGUUGUUAGUACUGGUCCGGGAACACAAUUAUCCCCCUUCAAUUUUCGUUGUCAAUUUUCGUUCACAAAUAUAGUUCCCUUUAAUUUCAGUAUAUUUUUUUCUUAAAUUUUUUUUUUGCCUUUCCUUUGAAUUUUCCCCCAUUUUUUUGCUAUAAUGUGAAUGUAAGGUCAUCUAAGAGAAUUUCUGUAAAAUUUCUUUUUGAUAUUUUGAGCAGAAAUGAGUGAUUUGGUUAGGUAAACAUAGGUGGGAUUUCCCCUUUUCGGAAGCUCUCUGGCUUAACCCAUACUGGUGUCCUUGUGUUUAGAAUU
RNAcentral lists this long non-coding RNA (325 nucleotides) under Mytilus galloprovincialis (Mediterranean mussel). The record is from RNAcentral. Lineage: Eukaryota; Metazoa; Mollusca; Bivalvia; Mytilida; Mytilidae.